Molecule: ribosomal RNA, 383 nt
Filed under: uncultured eukaryote
Lineage: Eukaryota
Description: partial 18S ribosomal RNA
Rfam family: Eukaryotic small subunit ribosomal RNA
Source: RNAcentral
CAAUAGCGUAUAUUAAAGUUGUUGCAGUUAAAAAGCUCGUAGUUGGAUUUCUGGUAGGAGUGACCGUUCCGAACUUGAUUGUUCGUGUAUUGUGUUUUCUCCAGCCAUCCUUGUGGAGAACUUUUCUUGCAUUAAUUUGUAGGGAUUGGGACCCGCAUCGUUUACUGUGAAAAAAUUAGAGUGUUUAAAGCAGGCAAUCGCUUGAAUACAUUAGCAUGGAAUAAUAAGAUAGGACUUUGGUACUAUUUUGUUGGUUUGCAUACCAAAUUAAUGAUCAACAGGAACAGUUUGAGGAUAUUCGUAUGAACAUGUCAGAGGUGAAAUUCUUGGAUUUUGAUCAGACGAACUACUGCGAAAGCGUUUAUCAAGGAUGUUUUCAUUGA